Molecule: ribosomal RNA, 1513 nt
Filed under: Bacillus sp. (in: firmicutes)
Lineage: Bacteria; Bacillati; Bacillota; Bacilli; Caryophanales; Bacillaceae
Description: bacterial SSU rRNA
Rfam family: Bacterial small subunit ribosomal RNA
Source: RNAcentral
AGAGUUUGAUCCUGGCUCAGGACGAACGCUGGCGGCGUGCCUAAUACAUGCAAGUCGAGCGGACAGAUGGGAGCUUGCUCCCUGAUGUUAGCGGCGGACGGGUGAGUAACACGUGGGUAACCUGCCUGUAAGACUGGGAUAACUCCGGGAAACCGGGGCUAAUACCGGAUGCUUGUUUGAACCGCAUGGUUCAAACAUAAAAGGUGGCUUCGGCUACCACUUACAGAUGGACCCGCGGCGCAUUAGCUAGUUGGUGAGGUAAUGGCUCACCAAGGCAACGAUGCGUAGCCGACCUGAGAGGGUGAUCGGCCACACUGGGACUGAGACACGGCCCAGACUCCUACGGGAGGCAGCAGUAGGGAAUCUUCCGCAAUGGACGAAAGUCUGACGGAGCAACGCCGCGUGAGUGAUGAAGGUUUUCGGAUCGUAAAGCUCUGUUGUUAGGGAAGAACAAGUACCGUUCGAAUAGGGCGGUACCUUGACGGUACCUAACCAGAAAGCCACGGCUAACUACGUGCCAGCAGCCGCGGUAAUACGUAGGUGGCAAGCGUUUGUCCGGAAUUAUUGGGCGUAAAGGGCUCGCAGGCGGUUUCUUAAGUCUGAUGUGAAAGCCCCCGGCUCAACCGGGGAGGGUCAUUGGAAACUGGGGAACUUGAGUGCAGAAGAGGAGAGUGGAAUUCCACGUGUAGCGGUGAAAUGCGUAGAGAUGUGGAGGAACACCAGUGGCGAAGGCGACUCUCUGGUCUGUAACUGACGCUGAGGAGCGAAAGCGUGGGGAGCGAACAGGAUUAGAUACCCUGGUAGUCCACGCCGUAAACGAUGAGUGCUAAGUGUUAGGGGGUUUCCGCCCCUUAGUGCUGCAGCUAACGCAUUAAGCACUCCGCCUGGGGAGUACGGUCGCAAGACUGAAACUCAAAGGAAUUGACGGGGGCCCGCACAAGCGGUGGAGCAUGAGGUUUAAUUCGAAGCAACGCGAAGAACCUUACCAGGUCUUGACAUCCUCUGACAAUCCUAGAGAUAGGACGUCCCCUUCGGGGGCAGAGUGACAGGUGGUGCAUGGUUGUCGUCAGCUCGUGUCGUGAGAUGUUGGGUUAAGUCCCGCAACGAGCGCAACCCUUGAUCUUAGUUGCCAGCAUUCAGUUGGGCACUCUAAGGUGACUGCCGGUGACAAACCGGAGGAAGGUGGGGAUGACGUCAAAUCAUCAUGCCCCUUAUGACCUGGGCUACACACGUGCUACAAUGGACAGAACAAAGGGCAGCGAAACCGCGAGGUUAAGCCAAUCCCACAAAUCUGUUCUCAGUUCGGAUCGCAGUCUGCAACUCGACUGCGUGAAGCUGGAAUCGCUAGUAAUCGCGGAUCAGCAUGCCGCGGUGAAUACGUUCCCGGGCCUUGUACACACCGCCCGUCACACCACGAGAGUUUGUAACACCCGAAGUCGGUGAGGUAACCUUUUAGGAGCCAGCCGCCGAAGGUGGGACAGAUGAUUGGGGUGAAGUCGUAACAAGGUAACCG